AACCAACAGGGAUUGCCUCAGUAACGGCGAGUGAAGCGGCAAAAGCUCAAAUUUGAAAUCCUGCGGGAGUUGUAAUUUGAAGGUUGCGGGUCCUGAGGCUGUGCGCGCCCAAGUCCAUUGGAACAUGGCGCCUGGGAGGGUGAGAGCCCCGUCCGGCGCAGCGCAGUCUUUUUUGCGGCCCGUUUCCGACGAGUCGAGUUGUUUGGGAAUGCAGCUCAAAGUGGGUGGUAAAUUCCAUCUAAAGCUAAAUAUUGGCGAGAGACCGAUAGCGAACAAGUACAGUGAUGGAAAGAUGAAAAGCACUUUGAAAAGAGAGUGAAACAGUACGUGAAAUUGUUGAAAGGGAAGGGCUUGCAAGCAGACACGGUUUCGGCCGGGCCAGCAUCGGUUUGCCGGGGCGGACAAUGCGGCGGGAAUGUGGCGCGCCUCCUUGUGGGGCGCGUGUUUAUAGCCCGCCGAGAUACGCCCAUGGCAGACCGAGGCCUGCGAUCCAAUCUAGGAUGCUGGCGUAAUG
This 514-nucleotide ribosomal RNA is filed under the name Clavispora fructus. Its description in RNAcentral is "eukaryotic LSU rRNA". It matches the Rfam family "Eukaryotic large subunit ribosomal RNA", at positions 63 to 636 of the family's 3401-position model. The record is from RNAcentral. Lineage: Eukaryota; Fungi; Ascomycota; Pichiomycetes; Serinales; Metschnikowiaceae.